CACAGCUACGACUCGGCUCCGAUCGAUAACUAAACGAGAAAAUCGUAUCGUUUCGACAAAAGUUUAUCGGUAGUGGCUUCGGCAGUUCGAAGAUUAGUUCGAACCGCCGACACCAGAUGCUGCAUUAUCACAAAUUCUAUUUUCGUAAAUUAUUUCUAUUGUCUCUAAUAAAGAAUGUCUGUUACAGUAAAUCGCCGACGGCGAAUUUUAAUAUUCUGGGACGAAUCGGCUCAUAUCGAAAACACUAUAUCGUUUUUAUCGACCUAAAUAAAUACGAAAAUAACGAUACUACUAACGACGUCGCGCCUGCGCAGACCGCGGACUUUUAUCGUUUGGAGCCGAGUCGUAACCUUGAUGGUAACUGUGACGAAACUCCCCUUUUUUAAUAUUUUAUUUAAAUAAACGAAUCUAAUAUUUAUUAAAUAUUUUACAAAUAUCGCACUUUUCGUAUCGACGACUAAAAAUAUUUCAUAAUAUUUUCUGCAAAAAUCCUCCUAAACGAAAUACGAAAAUAAAUAUAAUGAAAUACGGAUUAUUCGCCGACUCGAACGUAUUUUUAUGGCGGAAACUUAACUUUGAAACGUCGAACGUG
RNAcentral lists this long non-coding RNA (592 nucleotides) under Androctonus crassicauda. Lineage: Eukaryota; Metazoa; Arthropoda; Arachnida; Scorpiones; Buthidae. The record is from RNAcentral.